Non-coding RNA from Acanthosepion pharaonis, 107 nucleotides. The record is from the annotation of a GenBank genome assembly. Lineage: Eukaryota; Metazoa; Mollusca; Cephalopoda; Sepiida; Sepiidae.
UUACGGCCAUAUCACGUUGUGGUGCCGGUUCCCGUCCGACCACCGAAAUUAAGCAACGUCGAGCCUGGUCAGUACCUAGAUGGGUGACCGGUCAGGAAUACCAAGUG